GAUGAACGCUAGCUACAGGCUUAACACAUGCAAGUCGAGGGGAAACGACAUUGAAAGCUUGCUUUUGAUGGGCGUCGACCGGCGCACGGGUGAGUAACGCGUAUCCAACCUGCCCACCACUUGGGGAUAACCUUGCGAAAGUAAGACUAAUACCCAAUGACGUCUCUAGAAGACAUCUGAAAGAGAUUAAAGAUUUAUCGGUGAUGGAUGGGGAUGCGUCUGAUUAGCUUGUUGGCGGGGUAACGGCCCACCAAGGCGACGAUCAGUAGGGGUUCUGAGAGGAAGGUCCCCCACAUUGGAACUGAGACACGGUCCAAACUCCUACGGGAGGCAGCAGUGAGGAAUAUUGGUCAAUGGACGAGAGUCUGAACCAGCCAAGUAGCGUGCAGGAUGACGGCCCUAUGGGUUGUAAACUGCUUUUAUAAGGGAAUAAAGUGAGUCUCGUGAGACUUUUUGCAUGUACCUUAUGAAUAGGGACCGGCUAAUUCCGUG
Molecule: ribosomal RNA, 492 nt
Filed under: uncultured bacterium
Lineage: Bacteria
Description: partial 16S ribosomal RNA
Rfam family: Bacterial small subunit ribosomal RNA
Source: RNAcentral